Molecule: transfer RNA, 69 nt
Filed under: Leptonycteris nivalis (Mexican long-nosed bat)
Lineage: Eukaryota; Metazoa; Chordata; Mammalia; Chiroptera; Phyllostomidae
Description: tRNA-Ala
Rfam family: tRNA
About the family: Transfer RNA (tRNA) molecules are approximately 80 nucleotides in length. Their secondary structure includes four short double-helical elements and three loops (D, anti-codon, and T loops).
Source: RNAcentral
AAGGGCUUAGCUUAAGAAAAGCGGUUGACUUGCAUUCAGCAGAUGUAAGAUAGAGUCUUGCAGUCCUUA